GAUGAACGCUAGCGGCAGGCUUAAUACAUGCAAGUCGAGGGGCAGCACGGGUAGCAAUACCUGGUGGCGACCGGCAAACGGGUGCGGAACACGUACGCAACCUUCCCAAAACUGGUGAAUAGCCCUCCGAAAGGAGGAUUAAUACACCGUACCAUAAUGAAGAGGCAUCUCUUUAUUAUUAUAGGCUUCGGUCGGUUUUGGAUGGGCGUGCGCCUGAUUAGGUAGUUGGCGGGGUAACGGCCCACCAAGCCUACGAUCAGUAACUGGUGUGAGAGCACGACCAGUCACACGGGCACUGAGACACGGGCCCGACUCCUACGGGAGGCAGCAGUAAGGAAUAUUGGUCAAUGGACGCAAGUCUGAACCAGCCAUGCCGCGUGAAGGAUGAAGGUCCUCUGGAUUGUAAACUUCUUUUAUCUGGGACGAAAAAGCUCAUUCUUGAGCACUUGACGGUACCAGAGGAAUAAGCACCGGCUAACUCCGU
Molecule: ribosomal RNA, 484 nt
Filed under: uncultured bacterium
Lineage: Bacteria
Description: bacterial SSU rRNA
Rfam family: Bacterial small subunit ribosomal RNA
Source: RNAcentral